GACGUAGGAGGCGAGCGUUGUCCGGAUUCAUUGGGCGUAAAGAGCACGCAGGCGGUUUGGCAAGUCGGAUGUGAAAACCCGAAGCUCAACUUCGGGCCUGCUUCCGAAACUGCCCGACUAGAGGUAGGUAGGGGAGAUCGGAAUUCCUGGUGUAGCGGUGAAAUGCGCAGAUAUCAGGAGGAACACCGGUGGCGAAGGCGGAUCUCUGGGCCUUACCUGACGCUCAGGUGCGAAAGCUAGGGGAGCGAACAGG
This 253-nucleotide ribosomal RNA is filed under the name uncultured bacterium. Its description in RNAcentral is "partial 16S ribosomal RNA". It matches the Rfam family "Bacterial small subunit ribosomal RNA", at positions 524 to 776 of the family's 1533-position model. The record is from RNAcentral.